CGAGGAAUCUUGGUCAAUGGGCGAAAGCCUGAACCAGCGACGCCGCGUGGAGGACGAAGGCCCUUGGGUUGUAAACUCCUUUUGCCGGGGAAGAGUGGAAGACGGUACCCGGCGAAUAAGCCACGGCUAACUACGUGCCAGCAGCCGCGGUAAUACGUAGGUGGCGAGCGUUGUCCGGAUUUACUGGGCGUAAAGCGCGCGUAGGCGGCUUGGUCAGUCCGAUGUGAAAGGUUCCGGCCCAACCGGGACACGGCACAAGAUACUGCCAGGCUUGAGGGCAGCAGAGGCCGGUGGAAUUCCCGGUGGAGUGGUGAAAUGCGUAGAUAUCGGGAGGAACACCAGUGGCGAAGGCGGCCGACUGGGCUGUGCCUGACGCUGAGGCGCGAAAGCGUGGGGAGCGAACCGGAUUAGAUACCCGCGUAGUCC
RNAcentral lists this ribosomal RNA (426 nucleotides) under uncultured bacterium. RNAcentral describes it as "bacterial SSU rRNA". It matches the Rfam family "Bacterial small subunit ribosomal RNA", at positions 355 to 796 of the family's 1533-position model. The record is from RNAcentral.